Molecule: unclassified non-coding RNA, 1069 nt
Filed under: Hevea brasiliensis (rubber tree)
Lineage: Eukaryota; Viridiplantae; Streptophyta; Magnoliopsida; Malpighiales; Euphorbiaceae
Source: RNAcentral
ACCCUUUCCAGCACUAGAAUACCACAAGGCAAUUUGCAGAAGCUACAUCAAUCUUCCCACUGCUGUCCAACCUCAACUAGUGUCAAACACCAAUAUUAAGGUGGGAAUCCUUUCAAUUUAAUGACUCUUAUUGACUUCAAUAAUAAUAUAUCAACCAAGUCUUACACAAUGUUCUAAAGAAGUUCACAUAAUUAUAUAUGUGAACCGCAUAAGGCAAACAAAAUAGAAAAUCCCACAAAUUAACUAGGAUGGAAGCUGUGGAGUUCUGAAGCCUUAAUUCUUUCAAACUAGAAGGAGAUGCACCCUUUCCAAAGCAACAUCACUUAGAAUAACAAUGUAUUUUGCCACUUGUAAUAGAGAGGACAAAUUUUCUUCACUGCUUUCAAUCACCAUAAUCGAGAACUAUGACAUGGUAAGGCUCAACGGGGUAAAAAAAUAGAGAAAUUUAAAAUUGAAGAAUAAAGUUUGCAAUAAUAAUUAUAUACACUUCUAGAAAGACAAGGAAAGAAAAUGUUCUAUUUUCUGUCACUUGUCCAGAUAUAUAUCCUUUAAGCUCUUCACAAAGAUCUGAUUUCUAGAUUUCUUGUUGAGGGAAAUUCCUUUUAUUGAAAUUUUCAUGUUCCAAGAAAUUUAAAUUACAGGGAAAAAUGUUCUCACUUUGUUCUUAAUGUCAUGAAUUUUAUUUUAUUAUCUAGUGUAUUACACAACUUUUGGAGAAUUAUGGCAUACUAUCUUGCAAAUGUCUCUAUUUUGCCUAAUGCAUCACCAUUUCAUUAGGAAAGCUAAAAUUUCUUAUGAAGUCAACGCUUUUUUUAGGUUAAUGGUUCCCAGUUGAAUCAAAACCAAUAACUUGUACAAAUGAGGCAGCCUUCCAAAGCGUUGACUCCCAAUGUUUCCAACUUUAUGUUAUGAACUACUGUAGUAGGAAGUAAAACAAUUAUCUUUUCUUCUAUGCCGUUUUGCCUCUUGGACUAUUUGAAACAGACUCUUUGAUUUUUCUGGUGAAAAAUAGGUAUGCCUGCAAAUUAGGUCCGAAAAAGAAGACGGGUUUUUUUUUUUUUUUUUUUUU